AGCAGGGACAGAACAGGCCAUGCAAUACAGGCUUCCCCCACAUUGCUCCACCAAUAUGCCUCAAGC
Molecule: small RNA, 66 nt
Filed under: Gopherus agassizii (Agassiz's desert tortoise)
Lineage: Eukaryota; Metazoa; Chordata; Testudines; Testudinidae
Description: TUC338 (ENSGAGG00000020091.1)
Source: RNAcentral